UUACCCCUGUGUUAUUGUCUCUAAUAUCCAGGGUCAGGGGAGGGGGGGGAGAGGAUAACAUUCCCUCAAAUUUAGCAGGUGCUUUGAGGCCCCUUGCUUGUGGUGUUGUUUUAAAUAUCCAGCGGGGAAGAUAAUAGUACUAUUUUUGAUAGUCUGAUUCAUCCGCUCCAACUUUCCGGAACUCUUAGGCCGGGAGGUGGCAUGCAGUUUCCGUGUGAUCCCCAAUACCUUUGCCGUCUUCUGUACCAAGGCAGCCAAAGACGCAGGCCCGUUAUCUGAGCCAAUCCAUAAGGCCAGUCAAAAUCUCGGAAUCAGAUCUCGAAGAAGCACAGGGGUUACUUCACGAGAUUUCUCAGUUCAUGUUGGAUAGGCCUCCACCCACCCAGAGUAGGUAUGUGCAAGAACUAGUAAAUACGUGUUAUCUCCACACUUUGUCAUCUCUGUGAAGUCUACCUGGAGAUUUUCAAAGGGGGCUGCUCCGUAAGCUUGUAUGCCGGGUGGAACGGCUGGACCUUGCCUCGCAUUAUGCUGUUGGCAGGUAACACACUGCUGCCUCACCGUUUUGGCGAGGGCUGACAAAUGCGAGAUGUACAAAUACCAGCCUAACAACUUUUCCAGUGACUCCUGACCUACAUGCGUGGUUUCAUGCACAGCCAGUAUAACUGCACCUCCUAGCAAGUGUGGCACGGCUACUCUCCCAUCUGGUAACCGAAUCCAUCCUUCCUGCAUCACUUGUCCUUCCCUCUACCUGGAGAAAGUCCUUUUCUUCUUUAGAAGAAGUAAGUCCAAGAUCAGGUGCUUGAGGGAGCACUGAUGCCUGGAAGGGGGCAGAUGCUGCUUUUCGAGCCUCUGAGUCAGUGCGGGAAUUCCCCAAACCCACCAAGGUAGAAGCUCGCUGGUGUCUUCUGCAAUGCACAACUGCCACCUUGUGGGGUUUCCAUACUGCUUCUAAUAAUUGCAAGAUUUCUUGUUGAUAUUUUCUGUCUUUUCCCCCAGAGUUCAAUAGGCCCUUUUCUUUCUAUCACGCUCCAUGCACUUGAAGGGUUAAAAAGACAUACCAAGAAUCAGUGUAAAUGUUGACAGUCCCACCCUCACUGAGUUCUAAGGCCCGAAUGAAAGCAAUGAGUUCAGCUUUCUGGGCUGAAGUGCCCUGGGGCAGCGAUCUGGCUUCAACAACAGUGUCCAGGGUUACCACGGCACACCCUGCACCUCUCUCUCCUUGGGGGUUGAAGAAGCUGCUCCCAUCCACGUAUAGUUCCAAGUCUACUGAUGCCCAAGGCUGGUCCUGGAAGUCAGGUCUGCUAGAGUCAACUGAGUCCAACAGUUCUACACAAUCAGGCUCGACAGGGCUCUCUGAUACCAGGAGCAAGGUGGCGGGGUGUAGGGUGUUACAAACUUCAAUGGUUAUACGGGGAUUUUCACAGAGCAAAAUUUGGUACUUGGUGAGUCUGGCAUUCGUUAGCCAACGAUGUCCUUUAGUAUUCAUUAAAGUCACCACAGCAUGGGAGGCCUUUAUGCUCAGGUUUUGCCCAAGAGUCAGCUUAUUUGCUUCUUGUCCUAGCAGGGCAGUUGCUGCCAAGGCCCUCAAACAGGGGGGCCAUCCUUUAGAAACCCCGUCUAGUUGUUUAGAGAAGUAGGCCACUGGCCUCAGCCAGGGCCCCACAGUUUGGGUUCAAAGUCCAGCUGCCAUCUCUUCUCUCUCUGAUGCAUACAAUGGAAAAGGCUUUGUCAGGUCAGGUAGCCCCAGGGCUGGAGCUGCCAGAAGUUUUUCCUUUAAC
Homo sapiens (human) is the source of this 1778-nucleotide long non-coding RNA. Lineage: Eukaryota; Metazoa; Chordata; Mammalia; Primates; Hominidae. The record is from Ensembl.